CCUAAGAUCUCUGCUCUAGGAGAGAGCAUGGCUUGAUUCAUCUUAAAAGAAUAGACUCACGGGCUCACAGAAGUCACUGCAUCCUUCUGCCUGUUACACCACCGAGAAUAAAACACAAUGACACCCCCACAAAAGAAAAAUAGACCCUAGCAAUGGAAGGAUUGAAGCUCAAGGAUGGAGACAUGAAGAUUAGGCCUGGCAACACAGCAAAAUCCCAUCUCAAAAUAAAAACUUUAAAUU
Mastomys coucha (southern multimammate mouse) is the source of this 240-nucleotide long non-coding RNA. RefSeq lists it as uncharacterized. The transcript is spliced from 2 exons. The record is from RefSeq and is a predicted model, not a curated record. Lineage: Eukaryota; Metazoa; Chordata; Mammalia; Rodentia; Muridae.